This 208-nucleotide ribosomal RNA is filed under the name uncultured bacterium. Its description in RNAcentral is "partial 16S ribosomal RNA". It matches the Rfam family "Bacterial small subunit ribosomal RNA", at positions 567 to 774 of the family's 1533-position model. The record is from RNAcentral.
GUGCGUAGGCGGUCGGCCAAGUCGGAUGUGAAAUCUCCGGGCUCAACCCGGAAACUGCAUCGGAUACUGGUUGGCUAGAGGAUUGGAGGGGGGACUGGAAUUCUCGGUGUAGCAGUGAAAUGCGUAGAUAUCGAGAGGAACACCAGUGGCGAAGGCGAGUCCCUGGACAAUUCCUGACGCUGAGGCACGAAAGCUAGGGGAGCAAACA